Molecule: ribosomal RNA, 163 nt
Filed under: Chuquiraga ulicina subsp. acicularis
Lineage: Eukaryota; Viridiplantae; Streptophyta; Magnoliopsida; Asterales; Asteraceae
Description: 5.8S ribosomal RNA
Rfam family: 5.8S ribosomal RNA
About the family: 5.8S ribosomal RNA (5.8S rRNA) is a component of the large subunit of the eukaryotic ribosome. It is transcribed by RNA polymerase I as part of the 45S precursor that also contains 18S and 28S rRNA.
Source: RNAcentral
CAAACGACUCUCGGCAACGGAUAUCUCGGCUCACGCAUCGAUGAAGAACGUAGCAAAAUGCGAUACUUGGUGUGAAUUGCAGAAUCCCGUGAACCAUCGAGUUUUGAACGCAAGUUGCGCCCGAAGCCACCCGGCCGAGGGCACGCCUGCCUGGGCGUCACGC